UACGGGGGGGGCAAGCGUUGUUCGGAAUUACUGGGCGUAAAGGGCUUGUAGGUGGCCAACUAAGUCAGACGUGAAAUCCCUCGGCUUAACCGGGGAACUGCGUCUGAUACUGGAUGGCUUGAAUCCGGGAGAGGGAUGCAGAAUUCCAGGUGUAGCGGUGAAAUGCGUAGAUAUCUGGAGGAAUACCGGUGGCGAAGGCGGCAUCCUGGACCGGCAUUGACGCUGAGGAGCGAAAGCCAGGGGAGCAAACGGG
Molecule: ribosomal RNA, 253 nt
Filed under: uncultured bacterium
Lineage: Bacteria
Description: partial 16S ribosomal RNA
Rfam family: Bacterial small subunit ribosomal RNA
Source: RNAcentral